AUGAGUUGACCUGAUGGGAUCAACAUCCCCGACGGCAAGUUCUACCUUGGAGAUGCUGGCUAUGCAUGUCGGCCAGGUAUUCUUCCACCCUUCAGGAAAACAAGGUACCAUCUCAACGAGUUCUCUGGUAGGAACUUUCCUAGGACUGCACAGCGGCUGCUUAAUUUCAGACACUCCAGCCUUAGAGUAACUGUUGAGAGGGCAUUUGGAGCUCUGAAGAAUAGGUUUAAGAUCCUGGAUCAGAAGCCAUUCCAUCCAUACUCCACUCAAGUUAAGCUAGUUCUUGCUUGUUGCAUUCUGCAUAACUGGAUCCUCCAGUGGGGCUUUGAUGAACACGUGCCUGAGGAGGAAGAGGUCAAGCCUGACGAUGUUGUUAGCUCUGGCCAUGGUGUGGAGGCGUUUGACAAUGACGGUUGUAAGAACAAAAGGUUGGAGUGGGAGAGGCAAUGUGGCUUAACAGAAGUCAGUGCAGGAUUUGAAGAAGAGGAAGAAGAAACAGCAGCAGCAGAAGCAUAG
This 516-nucleotide ribosomal RNA is filed under the name Triticum aestivum (bread wheat). RNAcentral's name for it is "partial small subunit ribosomal RNA". Lineage: Eukaryota; Viridiplantae; Streptophyta; Magnoliopsida; Poales; Poaceae. The record is from RNAcentral.